RNAcentral lists this ribosomal RNA (497 nucleotides) under uncultured bacterium. RNAcentral describes it as "partial 16S ribosomal RNA". It matches the Rfam family "Bacterial small subunit ribosomal RNA", at positions 28 to 507 of the family's 1533-position model. The record is from RNAcentral.
GAUGAACGCUGGCGGCGUGCCUAAUACAUGCAAGUCGAGCGAACAGACGAGUAGCUUGCUCCUCUGACGUUAGCGGCGGACGGGUGAGUAACACGUGGAUAACCUACCUAUAAGACUGGGAUAACUUCGGGAAACCGGAGCUAAUACCGGAUAAUAUAUUGAACCGCAUGGUUCAAUAGAGAAAGACGGUUUUGCUGUCACUUAUAGAUGGAUCCGCGCCGCAUUAGCUAGUUGGUAAGGUAACGGCUUACCAAGGCAACGAUGCGUAGCCGACCUGAGAGAGUGAUCGGCCACACUGGAACUGAGACACGGUCCAGACUCCUACGGGAGGCAGCAGUAGGGAAUCUUCCGCAAUGGGCGAAAGCCUGACGGAGCAACGCCGCGUGAGUGAUGAAGGUCUUCGGAUCGUAAAACUCUGUUAUUAGGGAAGAACAAAUGUGUAAGUAACUAUGCACGUCUUGACGGUACCUAAUCAGAAAGCCACGGCUAACUACGUG